This 2285-nucleotide long non-coding RNA is filed under the name Equus caballus (horse). RNAcentral describes it as "lncRNA (ENSECAG00000051735.1)". The record is from RNAcentral. Lineage: Eukaryota; Metazoa; Chordata; Mammalia; Perissodactyla; Equidae.
AAAUGUUGAAAAGCAUUCUGCGUUGACUUGACAUACACUUACUUUGUCCCAGGCAUUAUCCUAGGGCUUCAUGUGUAUCAACUCAUUUAAACGAAGAACAGUAAUGCCAGGUGGGUAUGAUUUUUAUCUGCAUUUUACACAAGAGCAAUGAAGCACAAAGAAGUUAAAUAAUACCAUCAAGGUCGUACAGCUAACACUUGAUCAAACAGGGGUUUGAAUCUAGCCAGCCACAGGCUCCAGAGCUGGUGUUUUAACUGCUCAGCUACAUGACAAAGGCUGCCUGGUUUUCUUAAAGCAGUGACAGUCCUUCCCUCCCCCCACCCCACACACAUGUUGUUUGGGUCCUUCCCUCUCACGUCUGUUUGAGAUUGGAGUGCGUGACCAUCAAGAUGGGAGGAAAGUGAAAGAAAAUUCUGGAACUAGGAGCACUUCUCAGACUGGCUAUAACAGUGAGAACCUAAGGGAGAAGGAGGUACUUGACCAGAGAGAUGAACAAGGAAGCUUCCCCUUUCUAUCUCAGCUUAGGUCUGACCUGCCACCCGCACCCCAGGGAUUAUGUGCUGAGCCCUUCAGUUCCAGGAUGCGUUUACGAUUUCCUAUCUGCUCCAAUAUAAAAUCUCUGAGACCAGUUUUACUCAGAGCUUCAUGGACAUUUUAGUUAUGCAAUAUAUGAGGUCUGAAUAUUGUCACACAUCCAAAUAGAACUUAAUUGUUAAGCUUUGCAGUCUCACAUAUACUCAAUAUCUAAUAUUUACGAAUAAAUACAACCCCCUUCUCCCAAAGUAGGCAUAAUUGCAGAAAUAAAGGUGCUGAACUGUUCUUCAGGAAGGUCUUGGCAGUUUUCGAAUAUUCCUUAGCAACAGUAUUCCACAUUAACCUUCAAGCAAAUGACAUUGAACUGCUACCAAACUUUUGUGUCGUGUUACACAGAAGUAUGACUCUGAGUGGUGGAUUCUUGUAACUUUCUCUAAAUGGAUUACUCCCAUCAGGAGAAGCAUUAUGUGUUAGAGGUGACUACUGAUUGAGCUAGCAGGAGAUACGUCUUUAGGAGGAAAAGCAACUUGAAAUUUUUUUAUAAGGUUGACUUUAUCCCAUUGAAAGUGAUGGUAUAUGAAAUGAAAAUAUCUUUUAAAAAAUGAAUUGUAUGUAGAAUACAGUAUAUGUUCUCCCAUGCAUCUAUUUCUUUUUGCAGGUAAGAGCACUAUUCACCAAAUAAUGUUUUCAGUUAAUGUUUUGUAUUAAGCAGAUGUAAUUUCUAGAAUAAUAACAUUUGUGACCAACACCACCCUCACCAUUGGGCAUGCCUUUGCUGGAACUCCCUUUGCACGGGGACAGAAGGUUUGGCUAUAAAUGUGUAUGGUGGUAAAUGUGAAUUUAUCGUAUGGAGGAAGCAUGUCAAUGAAGAGGAAGAUGAGGCCACUCAAGGCCAGUGUGCAACGGUGGAGGGGAGAUCAGCAAGUAACAAACAAAAGCCAGGUUCUGCCAGAGGGCCGGGAUGAAGGCGGUUAGAUAACGAAAUAGCUUCUGGAGAUUUCUCUAAGUGAGGAUUACGGAAACUUAUUGAUGGGUGAUCGAAGUUUUCUCCCAUUCUCUUUUCAUUUCAAGCAAAGAUUAACAUUUUCCCUUAUAAGAAGCCUUAGUUUCUAGACAACGAUAAUUUUCACACCAUGAAAAACUUAAAGCCUUCUAACUCAGCUACUUAAAUAUUACAAGAUUCUGUUCACUGGUAUCAUCUGCUUUCAGAUGAUUUUGCUAUAGUUAUUAUGUUUUAGAGAGCACUUUCUUAUGUUUUAGGAGAAGAUGGCCUCUAGUGCUAUUCAUUUCCGACGGUGCGCCAUCCCAAACCCUGGAAACAGAAGGCAGGCCAGCACGCGCCGGCCGUUGUCGCCCAUUCGCCGUCCAUUCUCAGGCUUCUUCCCGAGGGCGGAGCCGGCCUGGCCUCUGGGCCUCGGCUCCGGAAAGGAGGGCCUCUGCAGCCCUAGGCAGUUUUCGUUCCUGAUUAUGUUGAAUUUCUAUCAGUUUUUAUAGCAAAAAGGCCAUUGACAUGAAGCCCCUGUGUGUUAUUUUUCUGAGACUAAAACACCUAAACCAGUCCUUCCUCAGAAACGUAGCGUGUCUUCUGGAAAGCAGACGCCUCCGCGACGUCCAGCUUCCCUACUUGCGUGAGGCUGGGUAUGAUGCUUCAGUGUAAAUCUACGUGGAAUUAAUGUAUUUAGAAUUAAUAAUAUACACAUAAAAGAAAAUUUAAAAAGAAAUACAGGACUGUAAAUAAAGCCUGUUGUCUU